UUAAAACGCUGGGGGAGUUCCGACUGAGAGCAGCCUUGCUGGUUGCGACCCUUAGUACCUGAUCCGGGUAAUGCCGGCGUAGGGAAGCGCUACCGAAUAACA
RNAcentral lists this non-coding RNA (102 nucleotides) under Desulfuromonadales bacterium. Its description in RNAcentral is "TPP sequence". It matches the Rfam family "TPP riboswitch aptamer (THI element)". From Rfam's summary of the family: Vitamin B(1) in its active form thiamin pyrophosphate (TPP) is an essential coenzyme that is synthesised by coupling of pyrimidine and thiazole moieties in bacteria. The record is from RNAcentral. Lineage: Bacteria; Pseudomonadati; Thermodesulfobacteriota; Desulfuromonadia; Desulfuromonadales.